GCUGGGCAUGGUGGCACAUGCCUAUAAUCCCAGUCACCUGGGAGGCUGAGGUUGGAGGACCUGUCUCUUGAACCCAGGAGUUUUCAGUUCCAAUGGGCUAUGCCAAUCUGGUAUCCUCACUAAGUUUAGCACUAAUAUCGUAAGCCCUAGAGUGGAAGGCAGGGAGGAGCAGAUUGCCUAAGGAGGGGCAAAUCAACACAGGUCUGAAAUGAAGCAAAUCAAAGUUCCUGAGCUUAUCAGCAGUGAGAUUAGGCCUAUUAACAGCUCCUAUACUUCCAGCCUGACUGAGAGAGGGAGACUCAGU
This is an unclassified non-coding RNA of Vombatus ursinus (common wombat), 304 nucleotides long. It matches the Rfam family "Metazoan signal recognition particle RNA". From Rfam's summary of the family: The signal recognition particle (SRP) is a universally conserved ribonucleoprotein. The record is from Ensembl. NCBI's taxonomy places the organism in Eukaryota, Metazoa, Chordata, Mammalia, Diprotodontia, Vombatidae.